Molecule: ribosomal RNA, 546 nt
Filed under: uncultured bacterium
Lineage: Bacteria
Description: bacterial SSU rRNA
Rfam family: Bacterial small subunit ribosomal RNA
Source: RNAcentral
CUAUCAGCUAGUCGGCGGGGUAACGGCCCACCAAGGCGACGACGGGUAGCUGGUCUGAGAGGAUGGCCAGCCACAUUGGGACUGAGAAACGGCCCAGACUCCUACGGGAGGCAGCAGUGGGGAAUAUUGCGCAAUGGUCGAGAGACUGACGCAGCGACGCCGCGUGUGGGAUGAAGCUCUUCGGGGUGUAAACCACUGUUGCCCGGGACGAACGGGAGGAUCAAUCCUCCGUGACGGUACCGGGUGAGGAAGCACCGGCUAACUCCGUGCCAGCAGCCGCGGUAAUACGGAGGGUGCGAGCGUUGUCCGGAAUCACUGGGCGUAAAGGGCGCGUAGGUGGCCUUGUAAGCGGGCGGUGAAAGUCCGGGGCUCAACCCCGGAUCGGCCGUGCGGACUGCGAGGCUCGAGCACUGUAGAGGCCGGUGGAAUUCCGGGUGUAGCGGUGGAAUGCGUAGAGAUCCGGAGGAACACCAGUGGCGAAGGCGGCCGGCUGGGCAGUGGCUGACACUGAGGCGCGACAGCGUGGGGAGCAAACAGGAUUAGAUA